This 857-nucleotide ribosomal RNA is filed under the name Pseudomonas taeanensis. RNAcentral describes it as "bacterial SSU rRNA". It matches the Rfam family "Bacterial small subunit ribosomal RNA", at positions 82 to 935 of the family's 1533-position model. The record is from RNAcentral. Lineage: Bacteria; Pseudomonadati; Pseudomonadota; Gammaproteobacteria; Pseudomonadales; Pseudomonadaceae.
GCUUCUCUUGAGAGCGGCGGACGGGUGAGUAAUGCCUAGGAAUCUGCCUAGUGGUGGGGGAUAACGUUCGGAAACGGACGCUAAUACCGCAUACGUCCUACGGGAGAAAGCGGGGGAUCUUCGGACCUCGCGCCAUUAGAUGAGCCUAGGUCGGAUUAGCUAGUUGGUGAGGUAAUGGCUCACCAAGGCGACGAUCCGUAACUGGUCUGAGAGGAUGAUCAGUCACACUGGAACUGAGACACGGUCCAGACUCCUACGGGAGGCAGCAGUGGGGAAUAUUGGACAAUGGGCGAAAGCCUGAUCCAGCCAUGCCGCGUGUGUGAAGAAGGUCUUCGGAUUGUAAAGCACUUUAAGUUGGGAGGAAGGGUUGUAGAUUAAUACUCUGCAAUUUUGACGUUACCGACAGAAUAAGCACCGGCUAACUUCGUGCCAGCAGCCGCGGUAAUACGAAGGGUGCAAGCGUUAAUCGGAAUUACUGGGCGUAAAGCGCGCGUAGGUGGUUCGUUAAGUUGGAUGUGAAAGCCCCGGGCUCAACCUGGGAACUGCAUCCAAAACUGGCGAGCUAGAGUACGGUAGAGGGUAGUGGAAUUUCCUGUGUAGCGGUGAAAUGCGUAGAUAUAGGAAGGAACACCAGUGGCGAAGGCGACUACCUGGACUGAUACUGACACUGAGGUGCGAAAGCGUGGGGAGCAAACAGGAUUAGAUACCCUGGUAGUCCACGCCGUAAACGAUGUCAACUAGCCGUUGGAAUCCUUGAGAUUUUAGUGGCGCAGCUAACGCAUUAAGUUGACCGCCUGGGGAGUACGGCCGCAAGGUUAAAACUCAAAUGAAUUGACGGGGGCCCGCACAAGCGGUGG